Long non-coding RNA from Gambusia affinis (western mosquitofish), 370 nucleotides. RefSeq lists it as uncharacterized. The transcript has 2 exons. NCBI's taxonomy places the organism in Eukaryota, Metazoa, Chordata, Actinopteri, Cyprinodontiformes, Poeciliidae. The record is from RefSeq and is a predicted model, not a curated record.
CAACAAAUGAAAAUCCAAAAUUCCGUGUGUCACAAAAUUAGAAUAUUACUUAAGGCUAAUACAAAAAAGGGAUUUUUUAGAAAUGUUGGCCAACUGAAAAGUAUGAAAAUGAAAAAUAUGAGCAUGUACAAUACUCAAUACUUGGUUGGAGCUCCUUUUGCCUCAAUUACUGCAUUAAUGCGGCGUGGCAUGGAGUCGAUGAGUUUCUGGCACUGCUCAGGUGUUUUGAGUUAAUCAGCUGAUUAGUUUGUGGCACCAGGUGUCUUCAAAAUUUAACCCUUACACAAUAUUCUAAUUUUGUGACACACGGAAUUUUGGAUUUUCAUUUGUUGCCACUUCAAAUCAUCAAAAUUAAAUGAAAUAAACAUUU